UGUAGUCAUAUGCUUGUCUCAAAGAUUAAGCCAUGCAUGUCUAAGUAUAAGCAAUCAUACUGUGAAACUGCGAAUGGCUCAUUAAAUCAGUUAUCGUUUAUUUGAUAGUACCUUUACCUGGAUAACCGUGGUAAUUCUAGAGCUAAUACAUGCUAAAAACCUCGACUUCGGAAGGGGUGUAUUUAUUAGAUAAAAAACCAAUGCCCUUCGGGGCUCCUUGGUGAUUCAUAAUAACUUAACGAAUCGCAUGGCCUUGCGCCGGCGAUGGUUCAUUCAAAUUUCUGCCCUAUCAACUUUCGAUGGUAAGAUAGUGGCUUACCAUGGUCUCAACGGGUAACGGGGAAU
Molecule: ribosomal RNA, 345 nt
Filed under: uncultured fungus
Lineage: Eukaryota; Fungi
Description: SSU rRNA
Rfam family: Eukaryotic small subunit ribosomal RNA
Source: RNAcentral